This 75-nucleotide ribosomal RNA is filed under the name uncultured Veillonella sp. RNAcentral describes it as "partial 16S ribosomal RNA". The record is from RNAcentral. Lineage: Bacteria; Bacillati; Bacillota; Negativicutes; Veillonellales; Veillonellaceae.
AGGUCUUGACAUUGAUGGACAGAACUAGAGAUAGUUUUUCUUCUUCGGAAGCCAGAAAACAGGUGGUGCACGGUU